RNAcentral lists this ribosomal RNA (253 nucleotides) under uncultured bacterium. Its description in RNAcentral is "partial 16S ribosomal RNA". It matches the Rfam family "Bacterial small subunit ribosomal RNA", at positions 524 to 776 of the family's 1533-position model. The record is from RNAcentral.
UACGGGGGUGGCGAGCGUUACUCGGAUUUAUUGGGUGUAAAGGGCAGGUAGGUGUUCCGCCAAGUUAGAGGUGAAAUCCUGUGGCUUAACCACAGAACUGCCUUUAAAACUGGCGGAAUUGAGGCCGGCAGAGGAGAGUGGAAUUCCCGGUGUAAGGGUGAAAUCUGUAGAUAUCGGGAGGAACACCAGUGGCGAAAGCGACUCUCUGGGCUGGCCCUGACGCUAAUCUGCGAAAGCUAGGGGAGCAAACAGG